Helianthus annuus (common sunflower) is the source of this 531-nucleotide long non-coding RNA. RefSeq lists it as uncharacterized. The record is from RefSeq and is a predicted model, not a curated record. NCBI's taxonomy places the organism in Eukaryota, Viridiplantae, Streptophyta, Magnoliopsida, Asterales, Asteraceae. The transcript is spliced from 3 exons.
GAACAUUCUCUCUCUUGACAUGUGUAUUCCAUGCAAAAGAGUACUCAUUACAACUUCUUGAAAUACACCCAAACAUCACUCAUUCCAAAAUCAAACCAAUUUCAUCUUCUAUCUCUCACUAUAAUCGGCCGAAUACUCCCUCUACACUCCCAAUUUCAAAAUUUUGAAGCUUCUUUCAAGAACCAAGUUGAAUUCAAAGUGUAUCCAAGUUGUUGUGAAGAUCCAAGAAGGUUUCCAAGAAGAAACAAGCUCCAUAACAUCAACAUCUUAUCAAAAACCCACUUGAAUCUUAAAGGACGUGUAGAAAUCAAUCUCUGGGAUUGCGCUAUUUAAAAUACGCACCCAACGGUACUUGAGUUCGGCUUCGGGAAUUAUGGCGUAUCUUGUGUUUGUUGAUGCAUGUUUUGUUACUUAAAAUGUUGGACUGACUUUUAAACUUUCUGGGAUAAUGUAAUAAGAUCCGGGAGGGUCAAAGACAAAUUUUAUUAUGUCAUGGCUAUGUCUGUCGUGUUUUGGAACGUUAAGAUUAAA